UGCUCAUCAUGAAUACAAUAGUAGUAAGAACUGAGUCUUACUUCACUAUACAAAUAGGUAUAUAUGAUCGAAUAUAUUGAAACAAGAUGAUCAAAGUACGGAGGAUAGCUAGAUCUAUGCUUGUUCACAUUCUCAACAUAACGCGAUAGGCAAUAAUAGCUUACCUGAACUCAAGCAAUGGCAGAGUAACUGUGAUCAUCUGCAGUUGGACCCUGAGAAAGAAUGGUCAGAAACACAAAGACACCGUACAGAACGGUAGCAAUGGCAGUAAAGUUAACUAGGAAGGCCUCGGAACCAUAUUUAGCCAAACCGUUGACUUCCAGGAAUGUGAGCUUCUCAAGGAAUCCUAAACACGCAUUGCCAACAGCCACGACAUAUAUAAACAUCCCCAAAAGCACAUGCCAAGGAAGUGAAUCACGUCUGAUUUCAGAACUACCUCCAGGGUAGAAGAACACCACAAAUCCAUAAAUCCACUGAAUGCCAUAAAGAGUAAUAACUCCUAUUCCAAUCCAGGAAUGUAAACUGUACAUGUUGGGGAUGUUGCUUUCAUUGUGGUUCUUGAAUGCGGUAUAAAUUCCAAUUAUACCAAGUAUGAGCGCGAUAGCAUGUAAAACUAGAUGUAUUUUUUUCUUCACCUGCUUCUCCAGGGGGAAAGAUUUGUAACUUAUGAUAGCUUCUCCCCCGAGAAUAAUGAAGCCAAUAAGCAUAAGUACAGGGUGAAUAUUAAAGAUGAGAUUUUUGUUUUCAGCUUCCCAAGCUAAGCCACCUCUAAAGUGAAUAGACCAAACUAAGACCAUAAUAGCAGCAAUUAAGGCAAUAAAAUGUGCCCCAAAUGAAAAAGGCAGUGCCUUUAGCCCAGUUGCCAUCUUCUCUUUUGAUGAUAACAAUACAGACCAAGGGAUAAAAUGUUAUCUUAAUUUUAUCAACUGAAUUUG
Molecule: unclassified non-coding RNA, 935 nt
Filed under: Hevea brasiliensis (rubber tree)
Lineage: Eukaryota; Viridiplantae; Streptophyta; Magnoliopsida; Malpighiales; Euphorbiaceae
Source: RNAcentral